Non-coding RNA from Arachis ipaensis, 1590 nucleotides. The record is from RefSeq and is a predicted model, not a curated record. Lineage: Eukaryota; Viridiplantae; Streptophyta; Magnoliopsida; Fabales; Fabaceae.
AAAUUUAGUAAUUUAGGUAUUGACAAAAGUAUUUGAAAAAUCAAAAGGAUAAAAACCAAAUAUAAACAUUAUACUGAGGGAAUGAAUACUCAGUGUGAGAAGAAUUACAUUACAAGCUACCACUUUGUUCUCAUUUCGAAAGCCCAUUGUACACCCUCUUCCAUAACUCAAAACUCAAAAAGUAUCCCUAGGCUAUAUAUCUUGGAUCACUCUUUCUCGACCCACAUGAGCCAUUGAUCUUAUUUCUAACCAAGGAAGCUCAAUCAUCAAGAAAACCAAGCUUAUCACAGAUAUCCUAGCAUAACAUAGUUCACAUUUGUUAAUCACUUUCCAUAUCCAAACAUAGUUCCAAUCACAAUUGUUAACCCCAUCAAGAUUUCCACAUGAACCAGCAAAAUCAACACAAAGGACCAUCUCUUCCUCAACCCAAGUUUGAAGAGGUGCAAGAUGAAAAUUUCAGAUGGAAAUUUUCUCUUACAGGGGUGUAAUAUGACAAGUUGUACCAUUUCAACUUCAAAUCAAUUCAGUCAUUCAAAAUUCAAUACCAAUUAGAUGAGUCUACAUUCAUAGAAAUCUUCAUCCUCAAAUUUUCCCUAUCGUUGGGAUAAGAACCUAGCUCAAGAACUGAACAAAAUUAGGAAAGAACCUUCUCUAUAUGAAUGAUUCAUAAAACCAGUAACAAUCUAAGCGGUUCCACAACAAAUGGCAAGUGGACAUCAAACUACCUUAACAAAUAUAUCUUGAUGCGCCAAUCCUUUAUUUCGAAGUCGCAUUCAGGAGGGGCAAAAUAUACAUUGGAACAUUAUUUCUAAAGAGAAAGGCCCUAAGUGAACAUGUCCUACUAGAAUUUGGCAUGUCUAUGCUUUAGAGGAAAAGACCACUACCCUGAUGGUAUGGUAAUGCUGGGAAGAGAAUGAUCCAAAUUACUUUAUUUAACUUAACAUUUAUAAUUUCAUGCAUAUAACAUCCAUAAUUACAGACUUAUUACCUCUAAUAUUACUCAAUUAUUUCAAUGGUAAUUAAGAAAUGCAAGAUAAAGUAAGCAGUAGUUAAGAAAUGCAAAAUAAGGUAACUUUCGGUUGUUUUGAACUGAUUUUCUAUUGUCUCCCAAAUACUUUUGGUACAUCAGAUGGCUAAUUCAUUAGGCUUACAAAACCAGGCAACCAUAUUUUUGGAUGCAAAGUUGCACACACCUAACACGGCCACACAGUCAGAAACACAUGGCAACAAGUACACAAUAGAAACUGGACCAACAAUACAUAUAUAAUACCGUUAUUCCAAUGUUAGAACAGAAAAGAAAAUGACAUGGUUGAUUGAUUGAUUCCCUUGAUCAUCGUGCACAGCUGAGCUGCCAUAAUUGUUAACUAACCACUAACUAAUUCUGUUUUGGCUACUAACUUAUGGAUCCUUUUCAGUUCAGUUUUGAUUAAAUAACAGCUUGCUCCCUACCAGGAGUUAUGCUGUGCUUGCUUUGCUACUCAAAUCCAAGCUUAUCACCUCAAAUGCCAGGUCAAAAUUUUUCAUUUCAUGAACUAUCAUCACAAUCAUAAAACAUGUAAAAAAAAAUAUAAAUAUUAAAAAAAAAAAAAA